GGGAAGAGUAAGGAUACGUCGGUUCUGGGGAGUUGAGAAUAUGCCUUUCCCCCCUCAGUCACCUAAUUUUAAAAAACCAAACCAAACAUCUUUUAUUUUAAAGUCUAACCCUGGAAGUUUGCUCGAGUGAGGGCCUAAUUCUCCAUGUUGGCCGUUGAUCGCGGUGGAAGCUGUUGAGAGGUGAGGAAACUGACAACUUGAAGAAGAUACCUAGCUUUCCCAUGAGCCUCUAGUUGGCAAGUGGAAGAACUGGAGUGCUCCUGAGAUGUCAGGGCCAUAUCAGUUUCAAACAUCACUGUCAGGGUGGGAGCAACCGAAGUUGAAACGGCCUGAAUGCUAAAUGUAGCCCCAGAGCGGAAACUUUGCUUCAGAGUUGCAAAGUCGCUGGAAUAUUCAUAGAAAUGUAAUAUGAGCAAAGGAUACCAAGUCAGUGUCAAAACUUUGUUCCAAACCAUAUUUGCUAUUUGUGAGACUGGCUCCUCAGGGCUCGGCUGGAGAUAAGGUCUUCGGGGGACUGGAUGAUGCUCACUCGCCUUGGUGAGGCCAUCUUCUUUGCUCAGCCUGCAGAUCCAGAUGCUAAUCUCUCCAGAGACCCUCUCACAGACACACCCAGAACUAGUGUUUAACCAGCUGUCUGGGCAUUCCUUGGCCCAGUUGAGUUGACACGUAAGAUUAACCAC
Manis pentadactyla (Chinese pangolin) is the source of this 680-nucleotide long non-coding RNA. RefSeq lists it as uncharacterized. The transcript is spliced from 5 exons. NCBI's taxonomy places the organism in Eukaryota, Metazoa, Chordata, Mammalia, Pholidota, Manidae. The record is from RefSeq and is a predicted model, not a curated record.